CCUACGGGUGGCAGCAGUGAGGAAUAUUGGUCAAUGGCCGGAAGGCUGAACCAGCCAAGCCGCGUGAAGGACGAAGGUGCCAAGCAUUUUAAACUUCUUUUGUCAAGGGACAAAAUCAGGCUCGAGAGCCUGACCGAGGGGACUUUAAGAAAAAGCAUCGGCUAACUCCGUGCCAUCAGCCGCGGUAAUACGGGGGAUGCGAGCGUUAUCCGGAUUUAUUGGGGUUAAAGGGUGCGUAGGCGGGCUGGUAAGUCAGCGGUAAAAGCCCGGGGCUAAACCCCGGCGAGCCGUUGAAUCUGGCUGGCUUGAGAUGUGGAGAGGUAUGCGGAAUGCGAAGUGUAGCGGUGAAAUGCGUAGAUAUCGCGCAGAACUCCGAUUGCGAAGGCAGCACACCGGCGGCGAUCUGACGCUGAGGUACGAAAGCGUGGGUAGCGAACAGGAUUAGAUACCCUUGUAGUC
RNAcentral lists this ribosomal RNA (459 nucleotides) under uncultured bacterium. Its description in RNAcentral is "partial 16S ribosomal RNA". It matches the Rfam family "Bacterial small subunit ribosomal RNA", at positions 338 to 795 of the family's 1533-position model. The record is from RNAcentral.